GACGGAGGGCGCGAGCGUUGUUCGGAAUCACUGGGCGUAAAGCGCGCGCAGGCGGAUGGGGAAGUCGGAAGUGAAAGUCCGGGGCUCAACUCCGGGUACGCUUCCGAUACUCUCUGUCUAGGGACCGGUAGAGGCCGGUGGAAUUCCCGGUGUAGCGGUGGAAUGCGUAGAGAUCGGGAAGAACACCAGUGGCGAAGGCGGCCGGCUGGGCCGGAGAUCCGCAGAGGAUCGAUCCGACGCUGAGGCGCGAAAGCGUGGGGAGCAAACAGG
This 270-nucleotide ribosomal RNA is filed under the name uncultured bacterium. Its description in RNAcentral is "partial 16S ribosomal RNA". It matches the Rfam family "Bacterial small subunit ribosomal RNA", at positions 524 to 776 of the family's 1533-position model. RNAcentral also lists the same sequence under 1 other name. The record is from RNAcentral.